Molecule: non-coding RNA, 81 nt
Organism: Caerostris darwini
Lineage: Eukaryota; Metazoa; Arthropoda; Arachnida; Araneae; Araneidae
Source: the annotation of a GenBank genome assembly
UCGUUCGAUCACCGAAGUUAAGCAUCAUUGGGCGCGGUCAGUACUUGGGUGGGUGACCACCUGGGAACACUGCGUGCCGUU